CUUUUGUACGCGGGGCGCUGUCCUCAGAUAAUCACAUGGUAUGCUUUCACCACAAAGCCUUUUUGAAAUCUGACAAAGCGUCUGGAUUAACAAGAAGAUGUAACCAAUGUAUAACACUUGUAUUUUCAUCACUGGAUGUUGUUGAGGCCGGGCGCUAGCGGUAUGCCUUUCCCAAGGAGGCUAGCAUUGGAUGUGCUCGUGGAAACAGAACAACUUAUUUACAAUUUACAGGUGAAGUGUAGUACUGCUGGUAGUAGUAGUACCACCAGUAGAGCUGGUAUGUGUCUCUGGACGCGGGCCUUACUUUUUUAACCAUUUAUCCAUUUUCAAGCAAACGGAAUGAGCAGCAGAUACGUUUGGCUACAUAUGGACUGUUAGUGGAAUUCCUGCGAGAGGGAAGGAGAUACAGACAAGGCAGAACAUCUAAAAAGGAAGCUGAUAAAUCGGAGCAGGGUGACGGUUGGACUUCCUCCCCUCAGAGUGGAUUUCCCCUCCCUAACCUUGGGAAAGAGAUGCCACGUGCUCCACAGUUAGAGGUUCCACAUCUCUCUGACGAAGACCCUCUGCCAUGUUACCACCACCAACCUUCCACUGUGCCAGACUGCUGACUAGGUCAAGCCAACCAGGAGAGUAAUUGGGAGAGAAUAUCACUGCCCCAGCCAAUGCCAGACAGACAGACAGAUCAAGAUGACCUGGGAAAUCCAUUUGGGCAUUGGCUUACAUCACCUCUCCACACGGGAUCCAGUGAGGGGCCACAGGGAUGUGGAACAAUUGUUGCAGAUCAUGGAAUUCCCAUCGGUUGGAGCUUCCCGCCUGUUUCGUGGUGGAGCUAAAAGUAGCAUCUGCCAUCGUUCAGUCAGAGCAUCAAACUCUCCGAUUAGUUUCCUUCUCCUGACCCAUAAAGUUAGGGGAGCUGUGAAUGUUCUUCUCUCUGUACACUCACUGAGAUGUUUCACAUUGUGUAUAAACCCCAUGACAAACGGUAAGAUGGCGCUUGUCUGUUCUCUUUGAAGAGACUGUGUGGAGAUGGAUUGCACAGGCUCUGCUAUCUGACAGCUAGCUGGGCCUCUAAGUUCACAGUGUUACAGAAAAGCUGGAACAAGCGUGUGGACAUGGAGAAAACACACACUGAAAGACCAUCCCACAGAGAACUAGAAAGAUGUAGAAUGUACUGGAUGAAAUUUCCUAGUCUUUACAACUGACAUGGAGUCAGUCCAAGACACUCACCUUGAACUCUAAAUGGUACACUUCUGUUGUUCCUCUCAUUACCAUUCCUGUCAAGUCCUGUGUUCAUACUGGGAUUAGUACAUAGUUCUCACACCCAUAGGCGGAUGUCAUGAGCAAGACAUAGGUCAAAAGGUUGAAUGUUGUCUGUGUUGUAGGGGUACGGUGUUUAAAAAUGAUUUCUGUCAGAUGUCUGUCUACCUGCUGAAAUCCAAGUUCAGAAGACGUUGCUCUGCUCAGAAUGUAGCAGUUGAGGCAACACUCCCAAAGCAGUACAAAUGUAACAUUUGUUGUGGAGAAAAUAAAUCUGAGCUGUCCGAUACAUUUUAUGCAUAUUGUUGUUCAAAUUUCAGUGAUACAUUUCUGUAGACAAUGAGCAAAAAGCAUCCCUCAAUCGUACAGAGUGCACCUUUCACCAUACCAAGGGUACACACCAAUAACGACCCCAGGUGGCUAAGCAACACACAAACCAGUCCUUCAUUAACCAGUCACUAAGGUUGC
This is a long non-coding RNA of Oncorhynchus tshawytscha (Chinook salmon), 1725 nucleotides long. The record is from Ensembl. Lineage: Eukaryota; Metazoa; Chordata; Actinopteri; Salmoniformes; Salmonidae.